UGUUGCUCCCCACAUCACCCUAGAGGGAGGGUUAAAAUGGUCCCUGCUUGCAGGUCCUUUCCCCCAGACCCAGGCAGUGUUCUCCUGUGAAGACAUGAAGGAAAUUGUGAUACAGUGAUGUGAAACACCUGCCUGUCUGUCUGCAGUAGAGCUUGUGAUCUGUGUGUGCAGGUGACCGACAGCAGCCAUGAUUGCCAAACAAACUGGAGAAGAGAUGAAGACAUGAUUUGUGCUGAGGAUGUAAAAUGGGGAGGAGAGCGAAUGAAACCAGUUUGUCAUGUUGCAAAAGUGUUUCUCUCUCUCUGUCACAUAUUCCACUUCUUAAUUAUUCUCUUCAUGCACUCAAAUGAAAAGGCUACUAAGUGAUCUGUGCAUAGAUGCUACUGUCAUCUCCAGAAGAAAAAAAUUAAUGCUUGAUCAGAAUAAGAAAUUCAUUAAACUCUGGCUACUGACACUCUCCUUCAACCUAAACACCACUCCUGGAAUAGGAUAUUCAAAAUCUUCCUGUCUCCUGGAAAGUCCAUGGAGUUGGAGGCAGCAUGAUGGAAACCUCAGCUAGUGCAGAGCAGCAAGAGGAAGAGUUGGCAGGAGCAGCUCUUAACAAGUAAG
This is a long non-coding RNA of Vidua macroura (Pin-tailed whydah), 609 nucleotides long. RefSeq lists it as uncharacterized. The record is from RefSeq and is a predicted model, not a curated record. NCBI's taxonomy places the organism in Eukaryota, Metazoa, Chordata, Aves, Passeriformes, Viduidae. The transcript has 3 exons.